AAGUCGUAACAAGGUCUCCGUAGGUGAACCUGCGGAGGGAUCAUUACACAAAAAAAUAUGCAGGCUGACUGCGACUGCGCCCACCCGGCCAGUUUGCUGAGGCCGAAAUAUUUUUUCACCCAUGUCUUUUGCGCACUUGUUGUUUCCUGGGCGGGUUCGCCCGCCACCAGGACCACACCAUAAACCUUUUUAUCUGUAGUUGUAAUCAGCGUCAGUAACAAGUAAAUAAUUAUUUACAACUUUCAACAACGGAUCUCUUGGUUCUG
This 266-nucleotide unclassified non-coding RNA is filed under the name air metagenome. RNAcentral describes it as "partial contains small subunit ribosomal RNA, internal transcribed spacer 1, and 5.8S ribosomal RNA". The stretch from base 1 to 46 matches the Rfam family "Eukaryotic small subunit ribosomal RNA", at positions 1786 to 1831 of the family's 1831-position model. The record is from RNAcentral.